AGGACUUUUCUCUUUGAUGUAAAAGGGAGAGAAUUUGAUUGGUGGGUCCUCUCUGAAAGCAGACAUUAUUUAGCUCAUAAAAAACUUUGAAGAUGGCAGUAUUAUUUCCUUCUGCUUAUACAUUAAUUUCACCAAUUCCUACAUUUUAUAAUAUCAUACAGAACCAAAGCGUGGGACAACUUCAUCCCUAUCCGUACAUUGCUACAGUGCUUAAUUGUCUUCUUUGGAUGCUAUAUGCCAUGCCGUUUGUGCAUUCAAAUAACUUGUUGGUACUUACAGUCAAUCCGUGUGGAUUGCUUUUCCAAUUUAUCUACUUAGCCAUUUUCUACGUCUACACCAACAACAUAGGCGAGGUAUAUUUAGAUCAUUAUAACUUUUUAAUUAAGAU
This is a long non-coding RNA of Ziziphus jujuba (common jujube), 388 nucleotides long. RefSeq lists it as uncharacterized. The transcript has 3 exons. NCBI's taxonomy places the organism in Eukaryota, Viridiplantae, Streptophyta, Magnoliopsida, Rosales, Rhamnaceae. The record is from RefSeq and is a predicted model, not a curated record.